Long non-coding RNA from Calidris pugnax (ruff), 727 nucleotides. RefSeq lists it as uncharacterized. NCBI's taxonomy places the organism in Eukaryota, Metazoa, Chordata, Aves, Charadriiformes, Scolopacidae. The record is from RefSeq and is a predicted model, not a curated record. The transcript has 4 exons.
GUCUUGUCGGUUCUUGGUGUGAAGCCACUUGCAGCCAGCGAGUGAACCUCCAGGCUCACUGUGAAUCCUAAACCAUGUGAUGCACCUGGGUAUUCUGGCUUUACUGGAAGAUUCAUGGACAGUUAUCAUACUGGUAUGAAGUUUCCAGACAAAUACAUACAUUGCAGCUGUUUUUUGAAUGGGGAAUGUUUUUAUUUUCCAGAAGAUGUCAUUAUAAAGUGAGCUUCUCUGAUCUUUCAACUUUCUGGGACAUGGCUGAACAGUGAAAAAUGAACUUCAGGAACUUCAUGAACAACGUGAACAACCAGAACAACUUGAGAAUAUGAAGCUGUUGUGUACAAAAGCUUUAAAAGGGCUCUGCCUGUGAAUGUUUAAAUUUUUAAAUAUUGUUAUUUAUUCUAAUUUUGAUCAAGAAAGGGAUUUACACAUGGUGCAAAUUGGUUAUUAACAAUUUGCACCUGCAGCUGUCUGUACAUCAAUAUAAAAAAAAGAUUUCCUUAUAAUUUUAUUCCAGUUAAUUUUAAUUUUAAAGUUGUAGUCAAACAUUGCAGUAUUCUAAACAAUGAAAAAUAAGCAUGUUUGUUUUCAGCUAAAUCCUGCACUAAAAGAUAACUUAAAUGCCAGUGACUCUAAUUAUACAUCAUCUUUGCUUAUGGAUUAGUUAGCAGACGUAUGACUGGGGAUCCUGUAGACAAUUUUCUGCAGGAGGGGAAUUAAAAUCAGAGAA